RNAcentral lists this transfer RNA (71 nucleotides) under Camelus dromedarius (Arabian camel). It matches the Rfam family "tRNA". Rfam says of the family: Transfer RNA (tRNA) molecules are approximately 80 nucleotides in length. Their secondary structure includes four short double-helical elements and three loops (D, anti-codon, and T loops). Further hydrogen bonds mediate the characteristic L-shaped molecular structure. tRNAs have two regions of fundamental functional importance: the anti-codon, which is responsible for specific mRNA codon recognition, and the 3' end, to which the tRNAs corresponding amino acid is attached (by aminoacyl-tRNA synthetases). tRNAs cope with the degeneracy of the genetic code in two manners: having more than one tRNA (with a specific anti-codon) for a particular amino acid; and 'wobble' base-pairing, i.e. permitting non-standard base-pairing at the 3rd anti-codon position. Lineage: Eukaryota; Metazoa; Chordata; Mammalia; Artiodactyla; Camelidae. The record is from Rfam by way of RNAcentral. RNAcentral also lists the same sequence under 1 other name.
GGGGGUAUAGCUCAGUGGUAGAGCAUGUGCUUAGCUGUGGGAGGUCCCGGGUUCAAUUCCCAGUACCUCCG